GCUGGCGGCAUGCCUAACACAUGCAAGUCGAACGGUAACAGGUCUUCGGAUGCUGACGAGUGGCGGACGGGUGAGUAAUGCGUAGGAAUCUGUCUUUUAGUGGGGGACAACCCAGGGAAACUUGGGCUAAUACCGCAUGAGCCCUGAGGGGGAAAGCGGGGGAUCUUCGGACCUCGCGCUAAGAGAGGAGCCUACGUCCGAUUAGCUAGUUGGCGGGGUAAAGGCCCACCAAGGCGACGAUCGGUAGCUGGUCUGAGAGGACGACCAGCCACACUGGGACUGAGACACGGCCCAGACUCCUACGGGAGGCAGCAGUGGGGAAUUUUUCGCAAUGGGGGCAACCCUGACGAAGCAAUGCCGCGUGGAUGAAGAAGGCCUUCGGGUUGUAAAGUCCUUUCGUGGAGGACGAAAAGGCGGGUUCUAAUACAAUCUGCUGUUGACGUGAAUCCAAGAAGAAGCACCGGCUAACUCCGUGCC
Molecule: ribosomal RNA, 477 nt
Filed under: Acidithiobacillus ferrooxidans
Lineage: Bacteria; Pseudomonadati; Pseudomonadota; Acidithiobacillia; Acidithiobacillales; Acidithiobacillaceae
Description: bacterial SSU rRNA
Rfam family: Bacterial small subunit ribosomal RNA
Source: RNAcentral